GACGAACGCUGGCGGCGUGCUUAACACAUGCAAGUCGUACGGUAAGGCCCUUUCGGGGGUACGCGAGUGGCGAACGGGUGCGUAACACGUGAGUAACCUGCCCACAACUUUGGGAUAACGCUAGGAAACUGGUGCUAAUACUGGAUAUGUGCUCCUGCUGCAUGGUGGGGGUUGGAAAGCUCCGGCGGUUGUGGAUGGACUCGCGGCCUAUCAGCUUGUUGGUGGGGUAGUGGCCUACCAAGGCGGCGACGGGUAGCCGGCCUGAGAGGGUGACCGGCCACAUUGGGACUGAGAUACGGCCCAGACUCCUACGGGAGGCAGCAGUGGGGAAUAUUGAACAAUGGGCGCAAGCCUGAUGCAGCAACGCCGCGUGCGGGAUGACGGCCUUCGGGUUGUAAACCGCUUUCAGCAGGGACGAAGCUUUUUGUGACGGUACCUGCAGAAGAAGCACCGGCUAACUACGUG
This 465-nucleotide ribosomal RNA is filed under the name uncultured bacterium. Its description in RNAcentral is "partial 16S ribosomal RNA". It matches the Rfam family "Bacterial small subunit ribosomal RNA", at positions 28 to 507 of the family's 1533-position model. The record is from RNAcentral.